Molecule: ribosomal RNA, 443 nt
Filed under: uncultured bacterium
Lineage: Bacteria
Description: bacterial SSU rRNA
Rfam family: Bacterial small subunit ribosomal RNA
Source: RNAcentral
AAUCAACGCUGGCGGCGUGCCUCAGACAUGCAAGUCGAACGCGAAAGUUUCCUUCGGGAGACAAGUAGAGUGGCGCACGGGUGAGUAACACGUAGGUAAUCUACCUUUGGAUGGGGAAUAACAACCGGAAACGGUUGCUAAUACCGCAUAAUGCAGCGGCACCUAAUGGUGACAGUUGUUAAAGCGGGGGAUCGAAAGACCUCGCGUCUAAAGAGGAGCCUGCGGCGGAUUAGCUAGNGGUAAGGUAAUGGCUUACCAAGGCUACGAUCCGUAACCGGCCUGAGAGGGCGGUCGGUCACACUGACACUGACAUACGGGUCAGACUCCUACGGGAGGCAGCAGUCGGGAAUUUUGGGCAAUGGGCGAAAGCCUGACCCAGCAACGCCGCGUGAAGGAUGAAAUCCCUCGGGAUGUAAACUUCGCAAGAACGGGAAGAAUAAGUA